CGAUCAUCAGCCUUCUUAAUUGAGACUGCAUCACCAAAAAGAUCGAGAAACUCCAAGAAAAUGCUUGAUAAUUCCUCUCUUUCAUCAACACUUGCAACGUUAGGGUUCUCAGGAGAUGGAACUAAGAACUUAUCAACCAAUGAAUCCAACAAAUCUACUCUCUUUGGGAGUGACUGAAUGGAUUCUAAAUGGAUUAGUGCCUCCAGAAGUGGUUUUGACAGCUGGACAUUCUCAACUGCUUGAUCAAGAAUUUCCCUAGCUUUUUCCGCCUUCCCAGAAACCAAGUAACAAAACCGAGAGUACUGUGCAAACAAUAAUGGCAGACACUGUGAGUGUUCCUUCCCUUUUUCAAUGGCAAUAGCUUGUUCGUAUAUGGAACAGGCAUCAUCAAGAUUCCCAAGUCGACGUUCCAUGUUUGCAUGCUUAAUUAUUGCUUCUACAAGCCCAGGUGAUAUUUCAGCAUGCACAAGUUGAUAUGCAGCUCGAGCACCAGUAAUAUCGCCACGUUGCUCCCGCAAUUGAGCAGCAAAAAGGUGAAUCUCUG
Molecule: unclassified non-coding RNA, 544 nt
Filed under: Hevea brasiliensis (rubber tree)
Lineage: Eukaryota; Viridiplantae; Streptophyta; Magnoliopsida; Malpighiales; Euphorbiaceae
Source: RNAcentral